CUUUAUCAAAUUUGUAUAGAGUUGGAACAGCUAACCUUCGUUUGCCGUUAGGGACGCUGUUCUAACUCCAUACAAAUUUCAGUUA
Molecule: microRNA precursor, 85 nt
Filed under: Bombyx mori (domestic silkworm)
Lineage: Eukaryota; Metazoa; Arthropoda; Insecta; Lepidoptera; Bombycidae
Description: mir-2807 microRNA precursor family
Rfam family: mir-2807 microRNA precursor family
Source: Rfam by way of RNAcentral